UACAGAGGUCCCAAGCGUUGUUCGGAUUCACUGGGCGUAAAGGGUGCGUAGGUGGUGAGGUAAGUCGGAUGUGAAAUCUCCGGGCUCAACCCGGAAAUGGCAUUGGAAACUACCUUGCUGGAGGAUUUGAGGGGGGAUUGGAAUACUUGGUGUAGCAGUGAAAUGCGUAGAGAUGCGGAGGAAUACCAGUGGCGAAGGCGGCCUUCUGGGACUCAACUGACGCUGAAGCGCGAAAGCAUGGGGAGCGAACGGG
This 253-nucleotide ribosomal RNA is filed under the name uncultured bacterium. RNAcentral's name for it is "partial 16S ribosomal RNA". It matches the Rfam family "Bacterial small subunit ribosomal RNA", at positions 524 to 776 of the family's 1533-position model. The record is from RNAcentral.